Molecule: non-coding RNA, 699 nt
Organism: Alligator mississippiensis (American alligator)
Lineage: Eukaryota; Metazoa; Chordata; Crocodylia; Alligatoridae
Source: the annotation of a RefSeq genome assembly
CCGGCGCGGGGCGGGGCGGGCACAAGGAUGCGGCUGCUGCUCCUGUGUGUCGUCCCCGCCCUGUGUGUCCCGGGGGUCCGAGGGGGGCUGGCGGCGUCGGGCGGCGGCGUGCGGGGCGCGGGCGGCUCCACCCGCCUCUCCUGCACCGUGUCGGGGCCGGAGCUGAGCGGCCACAAGGUGCGCUGGUACCGGCAGAGCCCGGGCCGGGGGCCGGAGUUCGUGUCGUGGGUGUCUCCCGAGGGGACCGCCCGCUACGCGGAGGCAGCCGGGGGCCGCUUCGUCGUUUCCCAGGACAAGGCCGGGAGCCAGGUGCAUCUGCACAUGCAGCGCCUGAGCGCCCGGGACAGCGGCGUGUAUCGCUGCGCCACGCGCACCACGGCGAGGCGGCGCCGGCCUCUGCUCCGGCAUAAACCUCCCCGGGGCGGGGCGGGGCGGGGCGGGGCGGGGCUGGCCGGGCGAGUGUGGAAGCGCUGCGGGGAUCUGCCCCCACCCCCUGCUACCGUCGGGGGACGCCCUUGGGACCUCCCCACGGGGGAGCAGUGCAGCUUCCCGCAGCGCUUGCCCACUCCCCGCAUGGUCCCAGCGGAGCGGAUCCCUGAGGUCUCUCCCCAGGCUCUGCUCACUCCCAGCCCCACCGGGCUAAGACUAGCUGAGCUGGGAGAGGGCAGCCACGCUGGGAUGGUGCAAGAUUCCUGCUAG